GUAGUUUGGUGCUCCCAUAAUCGCAUCAAUUACCCUACCUAAUAUCCCUAAUUUGUCGCAUGCAUCAAAUCCACUGGGAGUGCCCAUCCUUCCUCCAAUGCCUCUCAGUCUCACUGCUACAUCUCUCUAAAGUAUCCUAGUAACACUAACCCUCUCUUCCCUUUAUCCCUUAAUUACUAAGAACCCCCUGCAUCUACAGUCUCUAUUAUUAUGUUACGUUUAACCACUUUAGACUUAGUUAAAAAACACUGGUUUAAUACAUGUCUUUUUGAUAUCUUUG
RNAcentral lists this unclassified non-coding RNA (280 nucleotides) under Hevea brasiliensis (rubber tree). The record is from RNAcentral. Lineage: Eukaryota; Viridiplantae; Streptophyta; Magnoliopsida; Malpighiales; Euphorbiaceae.